Molecule: long non-coding RNA, 954 nt
Filed under: Homo sapiens (human)
Lineage: Eukaryota; Metazoa; Chordata; Mammalia; Primates; Hominidae
Description: PREDICTED lncRNA (TCONS_00086800)
Source: RNAcentral
CCCUCCCCCAGCCUCGCUGCCGCCUUGCAGUUUGAUCUCAGACUGCUGUGCUAGCAAUUAGCAAGACUCCGUGGGCGUAGGACCCUCCGAGCCAGGUGCGGGUUAUAAUCUACUGGUGCGCCGUGUUUUAAGCCCGUGGAAAAGCACAGUAUUAGGGUGGGAGUGACCCGAUUUUCCAGGUGCCGUCGGUCACCCCUUUCUUUGACUAGGAAAGGGAACUCCCUGACCCCUUGCGCUUCCCGAGUGAGGCAAUGUCUCGCCCUGCUUUGGCUCGCGCAUGGUGCGCUGCACCCACUGUCCUGCGCCCACUGUCUGGCACUCCCUAGUGAGAUGAACGCGGUACCUCAGAUGGAAAUGCAGAAAUCACCUGUCUUCUGCGUCACUCAUGCUGGGAGCUGUAGACCCGAGCUGUUCCUGUUCGUCCAUCUUGGCUGUAAUCCCAGGUUCAUCAAAAUAAGAUAUGAUCAAGGUACAAAAGAGUUAAAGAAGCUAUUUAUUUUAAUGUUUCCUUGGAGAGCACACUUGUUAUUAUGCCUGCCCCAGCUUUGCCUUCCACCAUGAGUAAAAGCUUCCCAAGUCCUCCCCAGAAGCAGAUGCUGGCGCUAUGCUUCUGGUACAGCCUGAAAAACCUUGAGCCAAUUAAACCUCAGUGAGCUCAAGAUGUCUUUGUUGAAACAGAACCUCCCGAAGUUACAGUAUUGGUUUUGGGGCUCCACACAGAGAACACAUCACGGAAGCUAUAAUUGAGGAAGACAAAGCUGUCAGGACGACACCAAGAGAGUUAGAAAGCCCAAGAGUGGAGCAUUCUUCACCAUGAUUCCACCUGACACUUGGCUGAAAGCAUUUUGCACUAAUUUGCUUUGUGCCCGUUCAGACAAUCUAAAAAGAAAGGAUGGGGGGACAACAAGUGUCUAUUACACAGAAUAAACAGCCUCUGGCAAAUGAAUACAUUUU